UUUCCUGUUUUAGUCCCGCCCAUCUGCUUCCUCUUCAGAUGGGGUGGCUAUGCUAACAGGAUUGAGAAACUGUCUGCCAUUGUCUGAAAGGGUUGAGCGGACUUCAUUCCGCCACGUCUAUAUGAAAUGAUGGCACAUUUUUUU
This 144-nucleotide small nucleolar RNA is filed under the name Hucho hucho (huchen). RNAcentral describes it as "Small nucleolar RNA SNORA29 (ENSHHUG00000010004.1)". Lineage: Eukaryota; Metazoa; Chordata; Actinopteri; Salmoniformes; Salmonidae. The record is from RNAcentral.